UGUGAGUUCUGUGCAUCCUCAAUUUGAUCGC
RNAcentral lists this non-coding RNA (31 nucleotides) under Homo sapiens (human). Lineage: Eukaryota; Metazoa; Chordata; Mammalia; Primates; Hominidae. The record is from RNAcentral.